UGAGGAACAUGACCUUCGGCGGGGGAUAGCCGGCCCAACGGCCGGGUAAUACCGCGUACGACCACAUGGGGACAUCCCCGAGUGGUGAAAGCAGCAAUGCGCCGAUGGAGUGCCUCGCGGCCUAUCAGCUAGUUGGUGAGGUAACGGCUCACCAAGGCAACGACGGGUAGCUGGUCUGAGAGGAUGGCCAGCCACAUUGGAACUGAGACACGGUCCAGACUCCUAGGGACG
RNAcentral lists this ribosomal RNA (231 nucleotides) under uncultured bacterium. Its description in RNAcentral is "partial 16S ribosomal RNA". It matches the Rfam family "Bacterial small subunit ribosomal RNA", at positions 118 to 347 of the family's 1533-position model. The record is from RNAcentral.